CCUACGGGGGGCAGCAGUAGGGAAUAUUGCUCAAUGGGGGAAACCCUGAAGCAGCAACGCCGCGUGGAGGAUGAAGGUUUUCGGAUUGUAAACUCCUUUUGUUAGAGAAGAUAAUGACGGUAUCUAACGAAUAAGCACCGGCUAACUCCGUGCCAGCAGCCGCGGUAAUACGGAGGGUGCAAGCGUUACUCGGAAUCACUGGGCGUAAAGCGCGCGUAGGCGGGAUAGCAAGUCAGAUGUGAAAUCCUAUGGCUUAACCAUAGAACUGCAUUUGAAACUGGUAUUCUAGAGUAUGGGAGAGGUAGGUGGAAGUCGUGGUGUAGGGGUAAAAUCCGUAGAGAUCAAGAGGAAUACUCAUUGCGAAGGCGACCUGCUAGAACAUAACUGACGCUGAUGCGCGAAAGCGUGGGGAGCAAACAGGAUUAGAUACCCGUGUAGUC
This 440-nucleotide ribosomal RNA is filed under the name uncultured bacterium. RNAcentral's name for it is "partial 16S ribosomal RNA". It matches the Rfam family "Bacterial small subunit ribosomal RNA", at positions 338 to 795 of the family's 1533-position model. The record is from RNAcentral.